GGAUCCAGACUUUGAUUCUGGCUCAGGAUAAACGCUGGCGGCGCACAUAAGACAUGCAAGUCGAACGGAAGUCGUUAUAAAAAGGAUUGAAGAUUUAUCUGAUUGAGACUUUAUAACAAUGGCUUUAGUGGCGGACUGGUGAGUAACGCGUGAGCAACCUGCCUACUAGAGGGGAAUAACAGUGAGAAAUCAUUGCUAAUACCGCAUAUGCCAUGAACAUCACAUGAUGAAAAUGGGAAAAGAGUAAUCUACUAGUAGAUGGGCUCGCGUCUGAUUAGAUAGUUGGUGGGGUAACGGCCUACCAAGUCAACGAUCAGUAGCCGGACUGAGAGGUUGAACGGCCACAUUGGGACUGAGAUACGGCCCAGACUCCUACGGGAGGCAGCAGUCGGGAAUAUUGCGCAAUGGAGGAAACUCUGACGCAGUGACGCCGCGUAUAGGAAGAAGGUUUUCGGAUUGUAAACUAUUGUCGUUAGGGAAGAUACAAGACAGUACCUAAGGAGGAAGCUCCGGCUAACUACGUGCCAGCAGCCGCGGUAAUACGUAGGGAGCAAGCGUUAUCCGGAUUUAUUGGGUGUAAAGGGUGCGUAGACGGGACAACAAGUUAGUUGUGAAAUCCCUCGGCUUAACUGAGGAACUGCAACUAAAACUAUUGUUCUUGAGUGUUGGAGAGGAAAGUGGAAUUCCUAGUGUAGCGGUGAAAUGCGUAGAUAUUAGGAGGAACACCGGUGGCGAAGGCGACUUUCUGGACAAUAACUGACGUUGAGGCACGAAAGUGUGGGGAGCAAACAGGAUUAGAUACCCUGGUAGUCCACACCGUAAACGAUGGAUUCUAGGUGUAGGAAAUGAUUUCAUUUUCUGUGCCGUCGCAAACGCAAUAAGUAUCCCACCUGGGGAGUACGGCCGCAAGGUUGCAACUCAAAGGAAUUGACGG
This 934-nucleotide ribosomal RNA is filed under the name uncultured Bacillota bacterium. RNAcentral describes it as "bacterial SSU rRNA". It matches the Rfam family "Bacterial small subunit ribosomal RNA", at positions 1 to 916 of the family's 1533-position model. Lineage: Bacteria; Bacillati; Bacillota. The record is from RNAcentral.